RNAcentral lists this long non-coding RNA (612 nucleotides) under Brassica rapa (field mustard). Its description in RNAcentral is "long non-coding RNA (BRAP_LNC001103)". Lineage: Eukaryota; Viridiplantae; Streptophyta; Magnoliopsida; Brassicales; Brassicaceae. The record is from RNAcentral.
UAUUGGCGCAGGCUUGAUACACAAAGGCGUACAAAGUGUGUCUUAGAUAACUCGAUCAAGUUCGGUACUUGUCGAUUAUUCGUGACAGGCAUAAGAGGAGUAUAUUCCUAUUCGGAGUCAUUUGUUUUAAAUGAUGUUUGGUAAGGAAUAGGUUAGCACCAUCUUCUCAAUUUUGUUGUCCAGAUCAUAAUCUUCUUGUGUCAUUUCAAGAAGUUUACCAUGUGUACAGCCAUCAUGCACAAGGAACAUUCUUCAACCUUUCCGAUUCUUCAUCUUUUCGAAUAUUUUGUCACCGAAAAUGUCUUUGGCCCAUACUUCACACUCGCUCUAAGUUUCCAACCACAUCCUUGAACACGACACUUAGCCACAUACAGAGUUUUUGUUGUCUUAUAUGCUGAAAAUGUAAAAUUAUAUUCCACAGUCACCGACUUCAGCUUUGAAACAAGCUCAGCCUUACUAGCAAAACUAUAAACGAAGACUUAGAAAUACGUCUACAAUUAUUAGCUAACAACAUUGUCAAAUCAAAUGAAUUAUACCUUCAUAAUUAUAAAAAAAAAAUUAUUUUCAAAAUCACUCAAACCCAUUAGGAUUAACUAACACACACUGUCAAAC